UUGGUGAAUAGCAUCCACGGUUUAUUUUCGCUGGUUUUUUUUACGUUCUCCUCCCACCUCCCCCGUAACGAUCCCGUCACACGUAACCAAGAAAAACCGGACCACGACGCGAGGCCCCUCGCACGAAAAAAAUCGGACGACCACCAUGUAGCGAUGCCCCUUGCACAAACCAGGGAGCGAGGCCAAUCUAACUCCUCUCUCAAUCCAAUCCUCCCACGCCCGGUUGCCUGCCGACGAGCCGCCGCCGGCCCCGCCGUGCUCGCUCCUUCUCAAUACCUCUCCACCACCGCCGUUGCCUGCGCCCCUGCCGCGUACAUCUCGCGCGUGCCUUAGCUGUGACGGGCUCGUUUGCAGCCGCUGCCGCAUGCGCCCGCCCGGCGAGCUCCGCCGCCAGCCGUUACCUCGCUGCCCUACGUCUCCCAGCCUCCGCACCAGCCCAUCCCCGACCUCCCUUGCACCCGCUGCCAUGUCGAGCAGAUGCCACAGCCCAAAUCUCGAGCCAGGGAAACCCUAAUCGCCCCAAAACUAUAAGGCGCCGCCAGCACCGCAUUUCCCAAACCCUUGCACCACAAGCAGACGACAGGUAAGGGAGGAGAAGAGCAGCGGCGAAGAUGGUGUCGCUAAAGCUACAGAAGCGCCAGGCCUCGAGCGUCCUCAAGUGCGGCAAUGAUAAGGUUUGGAUCCUCAAGUGCGGCAAGGACAAGGUUUGGAUCGAGUCCCACCAGAUCCUCCUCGCUGCUGCGUGAAUCUCAUCCCUCCAGAUCCUCAUCGCCAUUGUUCGGAGGCCCGACAAGGAGAUGCGAUAGUGGGCCUCAUUACCAACGACACCUGCAAUGCCUCGGAGACAGCGACACCAUCGAUGCCCAGUCAUCUUGAUUUGCACUGGCUUAGGAAUUUUUCUUAAAUAUAAGUGUUGAAUCAUCACGUGGAGGUGGUAGUAUGAGAUUUUUCAGGGUAGGAGAUAUCAGACUCCAUGGCAAUGGCCGAUGGCUAUUGUUUCAAUUUCUCACAAGCCAUGAGAAAAUCGGGGUAUAACACUGCCUAAAUUGUGUUACACCCUAUGCUCAUGAUCAGUACGGGACAAGAGUGGCUUGAACGGCAGCAUCUUGAAUCAUCAAAGUUGUGUGAAUUCCCUCUUGCUUGGGUGUUGUAUUUUAGCAGAGAGCAAUAUCACUACACUACUGAACGUUUUCUUGAACAGAAGCCACCUGAACUUAGUUUGAGCUCUCCUAUUGUUAAAUGAAGCUUGAUUUUUAGUAAGCUGAACAAUGUUUCUGAUUUCCUAACUUAAGAGGGUAUUUUCAGUUCUGUUCGUAUUGUUCCAAUCAGUUAUUUUACACUAUUAUAUAAUGGGCAUGCUUAUUUACAGCAUCUUGAUUAUUUUUGUCACGACUAUUUCCUUUCAGAAAAUUGCUGAUCCAUGGUCUUCCUGCAGAUUCCAAUGCUGACUUGAAUCCUGUUAGGAGUUGAUCAAGAUAAUCCGCUGUGUUGUGAUGCAAUCACUGAUUAAUUGGUGUGGAAUGUAGUGCUCUAUUUGAGAGAGAGAUGUGACCAUUAAUUUGAGAUAGAGAUGUGACCAUUUAAGUUUGAGAGAUGGCAAGAGAGUGCUCUACAUACACCAAUAAUGCAUCCACUGUUCAUGCUUCUCUGGUCAGCUCAUAUGUGGUUAUCGAAGCAGGAAAAGUUCUUGAGAAGAACUCUAAUUGCUAUGGACCUCGAGAUUGAUUCUUGCUAUUGUAUAUUGCCGUUGACAUUGGACUUGCUAUUUCCUGUAAGAGGGACAUUGGAAUCGCUGCUCAUCUAGAGGAGUCAGUUCCAAAUCUACGUCGGAAUAAUGCGAUGUUAAUGAUUGGAGGUGAUGUUUUUCUCUUCCAUGCCUAAAUUGUCUUUAGUAUAUGUCCAUAUAAAUAAAAUUGCAGUGUUCCAAUCAUCGAAUCUUCGAUCAAGUGGUUGUUUAAUUCAUAUAUAUCACAAUUGUUAAAUUAAUCAAUUUUUUAGCUAUAUUAUAGUCUGAGCUGAGGGCUUCGUACAAUUUGUACUGCUACUAAUUUGCACUUCUACUAGAUUCAUUUUUUCACAUGAGUUAGUUUAGAGCAGGGUAUUUCGUAAAUGAGUUUAUAUAACUUUUCUAUCUGAGAGUGGAUAUUUUUUGUGUGUUAGAUGAAUUGACUCCUACCGAAAGACUGAUCCCAAGCAGAGCUACAACCUGUCCAUGGAUUACUUGCAGGCCUGCAUUCUAACCAACAACAUUGGGCAGUGAGAGGGAGGGGCGACCAGCGAACACGCGGGAGGCGCAACCACGCAAGAGGUGACGGGGAGCCGGCGGAGAUUGCCAGUGGUGAGCGGGUGGUGGUGACCUCGAGCGGUCAGCACCAGUGGCGAGCAGGCAAUCACCGCGAUGGGCGACCAGCCAAAUCAAUCAGCCAAGGGCCAUUAUGUGCGUGAGUGUGUUAGUAAUGGGUAUCUCUGAAGAUUAUUUCUCAACUCGGCAUGGGGGUAGAGACUAAAAAGACGAUGCCACCGUAGCAUGGCAGACCAUGAACAUAGCGGUCGGGCAAACGAAACUUCGGCAUCUUGAUCGAUCAAGCGAAGCUUUUAAGCGCACAUACAAGUAACUUUGCAAUCAAGUGCUAUUUUUGUUUUUUCAGUUUCACUAAUUGCAUCUAAGGGCUACAAGAUCCCAUGCGCUAGCCAACGUCAAGGUUCAUAUUCAUUUUUAUUAUAUAGAUGGAACGAUAUUGUCUAUAUAUGGACACAAGACGGUACUCAUGUAAUAUUCUAUGAAGACAUGCUCGGACACUUGACAACAUGCCAUUGCUAAAUUAAUCUCUACCAUACUUUUCCAUAACAUCCACUGCGGUAAGGUUGUUCCAGUUUAAUUUAGCAACACUUUGCAUGGUCUAGAUAGCCAAGGUUCUAAAUAAGCUAUUGCUUAUUUUCAUGAUUUCAAAAUGCUUCCGUGAAGCUUUUGUUCCCAUCUAUAAGACCAAUCACCCUUUUCCCUUUAUUUUUUCCUUUACGAGGUCAGCUAUUUAAAUGAUGAUUCAUUAAACUCAAACAUGUAGUCAUGCGAGUGGCGAUGGUGGUGAACAUUAGUCAGAUUGGGGCAGAAGAUGCCGAGCACAAGCAUGCGGCUUGCCCUUGAUUGAGUUGUCAACACUGAUGAUUGGGGUGGUGUCUUCUGGUUGAACAAUGCCAACAUCGCACAGUGAGUCGUCUCAGUUUCAUAUGACCUGUUGGUGAUGUCUCUGAAUACAUGUUGAUUUGAUGAGAUCUAAAUUAAAUCAAAGACUUCAACACGGGAUGUUGCCUCUUUCACCUUAUUGUCAUUCUUAACGAUCUGUUGUGAGUAAAUCAUAGUGCAGUUGCGUCUUAUAUUUUGUUUGGGCCUGUAGGUGUGUGCCUCCUUGCUUUUCCAUUUCUUAUAAGUUGUCGUCGUUUUGUUGCUUAAUUUUGAAGUUUGGAUUUUGUCUUCAACCCGCAGGUCCAGUUAGGUGUGAGCAAGAACACAACAGGUGGAAAGGUUUUCCUUCGAUCUUCAACUCCCAGCCGCUCUAAUAUUUCCAUGUGGAAUGUUCAGCAAAAUGCCUUACAACGAAUACCCUAGAGAAAUUGUUGUUGUUGCGUUUUGACUUUUGAGUGAUACCUCUAGCUGUGGUAGAAAUGUAUUUAGAAUACAUUGACUGGUAUAAAUGUAUUUAGAAUACAUUGAAGUGCAAAUCCAUGUCAUGGUCAUGCUAUGGGAGGAGAAAUUGGGAAAAUAUCCCAUAUGAGCUUUAUUUGUACA
Long non-coding RNA from Aegilops tauschii subsp. strangulata, 3787 nucleotides. RefSeq lists it as uncharacterized. The record is from RefSeq and is a predicted model, not a curated record. Lineage: Eukaryota; Viridiplantae; Streptophyta; Magnoliopsida; Poales; Poaceae.